Molecule: long non-coding RNA, 1325 nt
Organism: Bactrocera latifrons
Lineage: Eukaryota; Metazoa; Arthropoda; Insecta; Diptera; Tephritidae
Exons: 2
Source: RefSeq, a predicted model, not a curated record
CAGUUGCGUGGAUAUUUAAAUUUACAUCGGAUAGAAAUGAAUUAAACGAAUUAGUAGGGGUAUUCGGAAUCUGUUGUAUUCGUAGUAAUUAUUUACUCUUUUUACAACGAAUUCAGAAAUACACAAGAAAAUCGCGAACACACCCAUUGUAAUGUCGUUGUAAAAUUUGUCGAACAGCUGAUUUUUGUGCCACAACAAAUAAAAAGCGAAAAAACUAAAAUAUUAGAUUUUAUUGUUAAUUGUGAAAAUCAAAUUGCUGAUGUGAACGAUGCCGAUGAUGCAGCCGUGGAUGAUAUUUUAGACUGCUGUAUGGAAGAGGUGAUCGCUAUAUUGCAGUGCCGCCGAGGAAUUCAGAACUGGAACUGAACUGGAUGAUACCAGGUUGAAGCAAAUGUUAAGGGUGGAUCGAUUUCAAUUCACUCAUUUGGUUGGGUUAAUUAAAACAGAUGAUGUUUUUAAUCGACUUCACUGAUGCAAACAGUUUUCUAUAGAGUUGCAACUUGCAAUUGUGUUAUACAGACUUGGGAUUUAUGGUGAAAAUGCUUCCAUAAGGAAAAUAGCUUCUAUUUUUGGAAUUGGCGAUGGAAACACAAUUGGCGUUGUAACAGAAAGAGUAUUUAAAGCUUUCCAACGAUUGGAGAGAAAAAUUAUAUUUUGGCCAGAUUACGCUGAAAGAAAUUUAAUUUCCCAAACGUUCAACGAACUUUCAUAUUGCAUUGGUUACGUAGAUGGAWCAGAGAUUGCUCUUGCCGAAGCGCCCGUCCAUAACCACAGGACGCAUUUUUCUAAAAAUCGACGUUACUCUAUAAAAGCUCAAGUGGUUUGUGACCACAAAUGCAGAAUUCGACAUAUUGUAGUGGGCCAUGUGGGUAGCGCUCAUGAUGCUAAAGUAUAUAAAACAUGCGCUUUGUUUCCUGAAGAGUCGAAAUUUUUUUCAGGAUUUCAGUGACUAGCAGGUGACUCAGCUUAUCCGAUUUCCAAAACGUUAAUAACACCAUAUCGAAGCAACUCAAAGCAAUUGGACAUACAAAAACGCAAUGAAUUUAAUCGACGCCAUAGUAAGUAUCGCGUACGAAUUGAAAAUUGUUUUGGGUUGUUAAAAGAGAAAUUUGGUAGUCUAAAGGAGCUCAGAAUUCGAAUUCAAAACAGAGAAAGUCACAAAUUUAGUAAUAAAUUAGUAAUAGUACAAGUUUUUUGAGUUAGAAAUAAAUUUAAUAAACAAAAAGUUUAAUAAGGCACUCUUUCAUAUAACAAUAGAUUGUUGUUCCAUAAAUAAAUAAAAGAAAAUGUGUAAUUUUUGGUUUCUGUUUUCUGAAAAAAACUUA